CAGGGAAGAGAGAACUCCUGAUCUUAAUCCUGAAAAAGGAGCAGGAAUUUUCCAAGUAGACAAGGAGCGGAAGGGCAUUCCAAGCAGAGAAACAUCAUGAGUAAGGAGACAAAGGCCUGACGAAGAGAGGUGCCCCUGAGGAGUUGCAGAAGGGACACAUCAAGAGGAGAGCUUGAAGUCCCAAACCUAGCAUUUCAGGAGCAUGAAAUCAAAGUGGUGCAGCAGAACUCCUGCGACACACAUUAGGAACCAGAUGAGAGCCGACUUGAAGACAGGGUGGACAAGUCAGACAGAAGUCCCCACAAGCCACAGCUAGCUGCACAGUGUGGACAAAAAUAACCCCCAGGACUCAAAGAAUGUUAGAGCUACAUGAAACGCAGCAAUGCAGGCAGACUCUCCUCCCCUGCUGGGUGGUACAGUCCUGGAGAACCUUGCGUUCACACUGAGUCAAUGGCAGAGCCGGGGUCAGCACUCCGUUCUCCUGACUCCCUCUCCAGUGCGCAUUCCUGAGGGCUGAGGUCGUCAUUGUUUUCAGCACAGUGCAACUGCUGACGUGCACGAAGAAGACCAGCACAUCAAGAGGUGAAACUGGGUUUGCCUCAGGCACCCCAAAAGACUGGAAGGCUUGUUAACUACGCGAUGAAUACACCUGUCACUUCCAAUUCGAACCUGACUUUCUGUUGUGAUGGCUGUAGAAUUUGGUAUCUAUGGCAACUUUUCAGUGGCUCCACAUCGAUUAAAAAAUGAUUGGCUUAUCAGGGUCGCUUGGGUUGAUUGAUGGAAAUGAUCAGUUGCUUAAAAUAAUCAUGACAGAUAGUCUCUUAAUUAGCCCGCAUUUGCAAGAGUCAGAAAUUUUAGAUUUCAUUACAUUUUUUAUUAUUAUUUCCAUGCAAAAGUAACUGAAAUUCAAUUCUACCAAAGCAGUUACAAGUUAAUUUGGACCGUCUCGCUGAAGGAAACUUGAUUCAAUCCACACAUCUUAUUUGGAAGCCAAAUGGCACA
RNAcentral lists this long non-coding RNA (1002 nucleotides) under Equus caballus (horse). RNAcentral describes it as "lncRNA (ENSECAG00000047473.1)". The record is from RNAcentral. Lineage: Eukaryota; Metazoa; Chordata; Mammalia; Perissodactyla; Equidae.